Molecule: long non-coding RNA, 690 nt
Filed under: Takifugu rubripes (torafugu)
Lineage: Eukaryota; Metazoa; Chordata; Actinopteri; Tetraodontiformes; Tetraodontidae
Description: lncRNA (ENSTRUG00000026228.1)
Source: RNAcentral
AAGAGGAGGAGGGCGGUGAUAAUGAAGAUGAAGGAUCGUUGUGGCUUUUGUCCCCACCUCCGCCAGCCUCCCCUCAUCUUCCAGAGAUACCGCCUCCUUCGCUAUAACCCUCCAAUCAAAACACCGGACGGAGAUGGGCUGGAGGAUGAAUGGGAGGACAUAGAGGACAUCAGGGUACACAGGCGGGUGGACAUGGAGGCAGGAGAAGGAGAAACUGCACUGUGAUGAUGGUAUUCAAGACUGUGAUGUCUUCCACAAAGUCUCAGUUAACCUGAUGUGAUGUUCCAGAAAAUGGUAAUGAUUGAAGCGGGGCUUUCUGUAGGUUUCAGGUUAAGUAUUUAGAGUUAGUUGGGUGUGUGUGUGAUUUUAGUCACAAGUCAACUUAAAAUGCCCCAUCAGUGGAUCAGAAAAUAAGGAUCAGCACUAAUGGACUUUCCUCUGGACGCCUCUUGAUUAUAACACUGUUGAUCACAGCUUUUGCCCGUAAUUAGUAGCCUUGUCUGUGAGCGUGUAAACAUUUCCAGCCUCUAAAGUGGGCCCCUGAUUUUUCACAGCACCAGUUGUAAUCGAGGGGAAUUGCAUCACUUCUAAAGGCUUUGAUAUAUUUUGUAUAAUUUGCACUUUAUUAAAUCCAUGCAAUGUGGCUAGUAAUGGCCCAGUAAUUGUGGUGUGAGACUGUUUGUUUACAGC